RNAcentral lists this ribosomal RNA (253 nucleotides) under uncultured bacterium. Its description in RNAcentral is "partial 16S ribosomal RNA". It matches the Rfam family "Bacterial small subunit ribosomal RNA", at positions 524 to 776 of the family's 1533-position model. The record is from RNAcentral.
UACGGAGGAUGCGAGCGUUAUCCGGAUUUAUUGGGUUUAAAGGGUGCGUAGGCUGAUAUUUAAGUCAGUGGUGAAAUAUUCCGGCUCAACCGGGAGGCUGCCAUUGAAACUGGAUAUCUUGAGUCUGGUCGAAGUGGGCGGAAUGAGGGGUGUAGCGGUGAAAUGCAUAGAUAUUCCUCAGAACACCGAUAGCGAAGGCAGCUCACUAGGUCAGCACUGACGCUGAUGCACGAAAGCGUGGGGAUCAAACAGG